CGCGGCCUAUCAGCUUGUUGGUGAGGUAAUGGCUCACCAAGGCGUCGACGGGUAGCCGGCCUGAGAGGGUGACCGGCCACACUGGGACUGAGACACGGCCCAGACUCCUACGGGAGGCAGCAGUGGGGAAUAUUGCACAAUGGGCGGAAGCCUGAUGCAGCAACGCCGCGCGAGGGAUGACGGCCUUCGGGUUGUAAACCUCUUUUAGCAGGGAAGAAGCGAAAGUGACGGUACCUGCAGAAAAAGCGCCGGCUAACUACGUGCCAGCAGCCGCGGUAAUACGUAGGGCGCAAGCGUUAUCCGGAAUUAUUGGGCGUAAAGAGCUCGUAGGCGGUUUGUCGCGUCUGCUGUGAAAUCCCGAGGCUCAACCUCGGGCCUGCAGUGGGUACGGGCAGACUAGGGUGCGGUAGGGGAGAUUGGAAUUCCUGGUGUAGCGGUGGAAUGCGCAGAUAUCAGGAGGAACACCGAUGGCGAAGGCAGAUCUCUGGGCCGUAACUGACGCUGAGGAGCGAAAGGGUGGGGAGCAAACAGGCUUAGAUACCCUGGUAGUCCACCCCGUAAACGUUGGGAACUAGUUGUGGGGUCCAUUCCACGGAUUCCGUGACGCAGCUAACGCAUUAAGUUCCCCGCCUGGGGAGUACGG
This 643-nucleotide ribosomal RNA is filed under the name uncultured Actinomycetes bacterium. RNAcentral describes it as "bacterial SSU rRNA". It matches the Rfam family "Bacterial small subunit ribosomal RNA", at positions 232 to 885 of the family's 1533-position model. Lineage: Bacteria; Bacillati; Actinomycetota; Actinomycetes. The record is from RNAcentral.